GGGGAUUUAGCUCAGUGGUAGAGCGCUUGCCUAGCAAGUGCAAGGCCCUGAGUUCAGCCCUGAGUUCAGUCCCCA
This is a non-coding RNA of Rattus norvegicus (Norway rat), 75 nucleotides long. Lineage: Eukaryota; Metazoa; Chordata; Mammalia; Rodentia; Muridae. The record is from Rfam.